CCUACGGGAGGCAGCAGUGGGGAAUAUUGGGCAAUGGGCGCAAGCCUGACCCAGCAACGCCGCGUGAAGGAAGAAGGCUUUCGGGUUGUAAACUUCUUUUGUCAGGGACGAAGCAAGUGACGGUACCUGACUAAUAAGCCACGGCUAACUACGUGCCAGCAGCCGCGGUAAUACGUAGGUGGCAAGCGUUAUCCGGAUUUACUGGGUGUAAAGGGCGGGUAGGCGGUACUGCAAGUCAGCUGUGAAAAUCACGGGCUCAACCUGUGCCCUACAGUUGAAACUGUAGUUCUUGAGUACUGGAGAGGCAGACGGAAUUCCUAGUGUAGCGGUGAAAUGCGUAGAUAUUAGGAGGAACACCAGUGGCGAAGGCGGUCUGCUGGACAGCAACUGACGCUGAGGCGCGAAAGCGUGGGGAGCAAACAGGAUUAGAUACCCCAGUAGUC
RNAcentral lists this ribosomal RNA (443 nucleotides) under uncultured bacterium. RNAcentral's name for it is "partial 16S ribosomal RNA". It matches the Rfam family "Bacterial small subunit ribosomal RNA", at positions 338 to 795 of the family's 1533-position model. The record is from RNAcentral.